CCCACGACCAGUGCAACAGAGAGCAAACCGCCGAUGGCCCGCGUAAGCGGGAUCAGGUAAGGGUGAAAGGGUGCGGUAAGAGCGCACCGCGCGGCUGGUAACAGUCCGUGGCACGGUAAACUCCACCCGGAGCAAGGCCAAAUAGGGGUUCACAUGGUACGGCCCGUACUGAACCCGGGUAGGCUGCUUGAGCCAGUGAGCGAUUGCUGGCCUAGAUGAAUGACUGUCCACGACAGAACCCGGCUUAUCGGUCAGCUUCAACU
RNAcentral lists this RNase P RNA (263 nucleotides) under Enterobacter hormaechei. RNAcentral describes it as "partial RNase P RNA component class A". It matches the Rfam family "Bacterial RNase P class A", at positions 99 to 367 of the family's 367-position model. Rfam says of the family: Ribonuclease P (RNase P) is a ubiquitous endoribonuclease, found in archaea, bacteria and eukarya as well as chloroplasts and mitochondria. Its best characterised activity is the generation of mature 5'-ends of tRNAs by cleaving the 5'-leader elements of precursor-tRNAs. Cellular RNase Ps are ribonucleoproteins. The record is from RNAcentral. Lineage: Bacteria; Pseudomonadati; Pseudomonadota; Gammaproteobacteria; Enterobacterales; Enterobacteriaceae.